CUACUUAACUUGAUUAAAUUCAAUAAUGUGUUAUUUGUAAGUUGUUUUGAACAAUAUCAAUAGUUUUGCUUGUUUUUUAUCUGAACUAUGAAUUCUUUAAUUUAUAAUACCUGCUAUAAAUAAAUAUACCAGCUGAUAUAAAAUGGUGUUUUUGUCAUCUUUUUGUCACCAUGCCUUAAUGUUUAAGCAAAAAUACACUUAUUGUUAUGCUUUCAAAUGGUAGUACAUUUUGUAAUGCUUUUUUGUCAUUUUUGUAUUCAAGCAAAUUUUCC
Molecule: long non-coding RNA, 272 nt
Filed under: Mytilus galloprovincialis (Mediterranean mussel)
Lineage: Eukaryota; Metazoa; Mollusca; Bivalvia; Mytilida; Mytilidae
Source: RNAcentral